AGUUUUUGUUCUCGAGUAAUAUUAGUUCUUUAUCCAUAUUUGUGUACCUUUCUAAUUUUUCUAGGCCUUGUGGUGGCACGAAGAGUCCAGCGGGCCACUUUGGAUACGCGUGAGGGUAAAGAAGGGAGGAAGGCCUCUUUUGGCAACUUAAUUUUUUUUAAAGGAAAAAACUAAUCUAAUUACCACUUGCUUUCUACGACCGGAAAAAAUGUAUGCAAUCACCACACUAUAAAGAGCGGGUUAUUUUAGCGAGCUCUUCUUCUCUAACAACUGUUCGAUUAAAUGUCGUGUUAUAUGAGUUUUCCGUCACUUAUAAUCUUAUAUGAUGUAAGAUAUAAGACUACUUCUAAACCAAAAUUCCUCCUAAACUCCAAAAAUAAAAAAUAAUAGAGUUACAAAUACCUCAGUUUUUGGUUCCUAGAUAAUCUUGCUUCCUUAGAACUGGUUCAUAUUUGCGUAUCAGAGUUCGACCUCAACCCGCUUGUAUAGCUUUUCUAAGUUUUUACGUCCAAUUCAUUAGCACCGUAACAUGCUUUGCACGAGAAUAGUAAAUAGAUUAAUUUAAAAAAGAAAAAUAUGGAUAUACCGCCGCUUGCCGCGGAUUGUUUGGAAAAAAAUAAUACAUAUCAAGAUGCAUGCAUGCAACUAAUAAAUAGAUUAAUUAGAAAAAGGAAAAUAUGGAUGCAUGCAUGCAACUAUAAUAAAUAAACUAAUUUAGAAAAAUAGAAUAAUACGAAGGCGC
This 742-nucleotide long non-coding RNA is filed under the name Sorghum bicolor (sorghum). Its description in RNAcentral is "long non-coding RNA (SBIC_LNC002246)". Lineage: Eukaryota; Viridiplantae; Streptophyta; Magnoliopsida; Poales; Poaceae. The record is from RNAcentral.